Molecule: ribosomal RNA, 654 nt
Filed under: Stenotrophomonas maltophilia
Lineage: Bacteria; Pseudomonadati; Pseudomonadota; Gammaproteobacteria; Lysobacterales; Lysobacteraceae
Description: bacterial SSU rRNA
Rfam family: Bacterial small subunit ribosomal RNA
Source: RNAcentral
GGAGAGCUUGCUCUCUGGGUGGCGAGUGGCGGACGGGUGAGGAAUACAUCGGAAUCUACUUUUUCGUGGGGGAUAACGUAGGGAAACUUACGCUAAUACCGCAUACGACCUACGGGUGAAAGCAGGGGAUCUUCGGACCUUGCGCGAUUGAAUGAGCCGAUGUCGGAUUAGCUAGUUGGCGGGGUAAAGGCCCACCAAGGCGACGAUCCGUAGCUGGUCUGAGAGGAUGAUCAGCCACACUGGAACUGAGACACGGUCCAGACUCCUACGGGAGGCAGCAGUGGGGAAUAUUGGACAAUGGGCGCAAGCCUGAUCCAGCCAUACCGCGUGGGUGAAGAAGGCCUUCGGGUUGUAAAGCCCUUUUGUUGGGAAAGAAAUCCAGCUGGUUAAUACCCGGUUGGGAUGACGGUACCCAAAGAAUAAGCACCGGCUAACUUCGUGCCAGCAGCCGCGGUAAUACGAAGGGUGCAAGCGUUACUCGGAAUUACUGGGCGUAAAGCGUGCGUAGGUGGUCGUUUAAGUCCGUUGUGAAAGCCCUGGGCUCAACCUGGGAACUGCAGUGGAUACUGGGCGACUAGAAUGUGGUAGAGGGUAGCGGAAUUCCUGGUGUAGCAGUGAAAUGCGUAGAGAUCAGGAGGAACAUCCAUGGCGAAG